UACGUAGGUGGCAAGCGUUGUCCGGAUUUACUGGGCGUAAAGAGCGCGCAGGCGGUCGCUCAAGUCGCGUGUGAAAGCCCCCGGCUCAACUGGGGAGGGUCACGCGAUACUGAUCGACUGGAAGGCAGGAGAGGGUAGUGGAAUUCCCGGUGUAGUGGUGAAAUGCGUAGAUAUUGGGAGGAACAUCGGUGGCGAAGGCGGCUACCUGGACGGGUACUGACGCUGAUGCGCGAAAGCUAGGGGAGCAAACAGG
This 253-nucleotide ribosomal RNA is filed under the name uncultured bacterium. Its description in RNAcentral is "partial 16S ribosomal RNA". It matches the Rfam family "Bacterial small subunit ribosomal RNA", at positions 524 to 776 of the family's 1533-position model. The record is from RNAcentral.